Dermacentor andersoni is the source of this 4911-nucleotide non-coding RNA. The record is from RefSeq and is a predicted model, not a curated record. Lineage: Eukaryota; Metazoa; Arthropoda; Arachnida; Ixodida; Ixodidae.
ACCCUGAAAAAAAAAUUGUAAUCUUGGUCCCCCACUUGAUUAAUGGCUAGCGUCAUUACUAUUGUAGUGUUGAUAGCUCAGAUAUGUUGAAAUAAUUUUUGCUCUUCAAAAUGAGAAAACACAUGACAUUGCUGAACUGUGGCUGUUCGUCAACUCUUGAUAUUAAACAAUAGAGAAUCGUCUUACCGCCCUCAAAUAGUUUGUGCGCGGUUUACAAGCUGGAACAUACAUUCAACUAACUUUCUCCUCAAAACUUAAUAACCGCUUCUCAGAAUUACAAUAUUGAAAAUUGUUCAUGGCAGAACAGCCCUUUUUGCAUCAUUUUGUGGAGUCUUGAUAAUAGCAAUCCCUUGCUAUUGAAAGUUGUAACAUUCUUUUCAUUAACAUUGAAGUUCGAAUGCUUUCAAGUCCUUUUAAAUAAAAAAAUAGGAGGCUUGGGACAUUGUGGUAUAGGGCCUAUCCAGACAUUUUUAAACUGCUAGAAUAAGAAGUUAACAUUCACGAAUGUUUGUACUGAGAAAAAGGUACCGAGUUCGAUUUAUCUAAGCAGUGGUUCAUACACACCUCUAACACCACCCCAGGAGGAGCCAGACACUGCCAAAUUUUUUCCAAUAUACCCCCCCCCUCCUUACUUUCUCCCGCACGCAAGAGGUAUUCGCCAAAUGCCAGUUAGGUCGGAAGAGACAAAAUAGAAAGGCGUCUUUUUGCGCCUCUUGUUCAUCAAGCAAUGUUUCAGAAAAAAUGAGGACAUACAAGGCACUGUUUCCAACUAAAUCUUUUAUCCAAGAAAACCAAUAUACAGUAAACUACCACUUGAACGUCACUUAAGCAAAUUAUUCAGCUGUACGAACUUUUUUUGUAUCCCCCAUCGAAACCCCAUUCAACCCAAUGCAAAUGCCUUUCAGUUUAACAAAAUUCAGUACAGUGGCAUUUCAGUUCUGUGAUCAUAUUCUGCUACAUCAUCAUCAUCAUGAUUUUUAUUUUUACCACUGGAUACAAGGUGAAAAAGGGAGAGCCGGGAAAAAAGCCGAAAUCUCUUCGGCUUGACAAAGUUCCGGUCUCCCAGACAGGCACGGAAGCGGCUGGUGUAGCAAUACAAUUACGCAUAAAGUGUGGAAAUAAGAGUUUUUUAAACACAAAUACAUAUAGAAAUUUUCAUGUUAUUACAUGGAAACUAGUUGUAAUACAGUUGUGUCAAAUGACUCCCAGUAUACAAUUAUAAUCUGUUAUCUUGCAUAUUAUUAUUUAACACAGACUCAGUUGCAUAUAUCAUAGUGGACUUGGAAGCACCGAACGAGUACGGAUGCUGAUCAAAUUUUUUCUGAUCGCACAGAUCGUGCUGUCGAGGACCGGAUUCGUCGACGCAGGGUCUGAGCAUGCACUGCAUCAGGCCUAUCUACUGCUACCUCCGGCUGUCUGCCCUGCUGGCUUCAUCGGACAAAACAAGUCGCAGGAAGCUGUACCACGUGCACUGCACUGGGACCACCUGACCAGCACGGUGACGUCGACGGAGACAUCGUGGCACCCGGAUAAAAGCAGCAGCCUUUUCGACGUUCCCUUCAGUGGACUUGGAAGCACCGAACGAGCACGGAUGCUGAUCAAAUUUUUUCUGAUCGCACAGGCGAUCUUUGGAAGCUUCAGUGAUACCUGACGACUGGCGAAGGGCCAAAGUAAUACCUGUGCACAAAUCUGGCUCUAAACUCGACGUAAGUAACUAUAGAUCUGUUUCAUUAACAUGUGCAUCCAGUAAAUUGUUCGAACAUAUUAUUUAUAAGGCCAUAAUAUUGCACUUAGAGAAUAAUAACCUACUAUACAGCCGGCAACAUGGAUUCCGUUCAGGUCUAAGUACUAUUACUCAGUUAGCUGAGUUAACCCAUGAUGUAGCUACCACAAUAAAUAACAGAAGCCAAAUAGAUGCCAUUUUCUUAGAUUUUUCAAAGGCCUUUGAUGUUGUUCCUCAUCCAGAUCUUACUACUAAACUAAUUGCCAUUGGUGUACACGAGAAAACAGUAUCAUGGAUCAAGAGCUAUCUCGAAAACAGAAAGCAAUGCGUAGCUGUGAAUGAUAUUACGUCUGAUUACGUCAACGUUUUUUCUGGUGUUCCACAAGGCUCGGUUCUUGCGCCCCUCCUAUUUCUGAUCUACAUCAAUGAUAUUCGUUCAUGCGUUCAGCCGCCCAUUCGUCGAUGAUUGCGUAGUGUACGCAACAGUGAAUACCAGAGAGGAUCAGGUAAAACUAGAUGAUUCGUUAGCUGCUGUACAAAAUUGGUGCAACAUUUGGGGGAUGAAACUGAAUGCAUCAAAAACUACCAGUAUCUCCUUCACUCACAAGAAAAAUGUGCUUCAGUUUACAUACACAAUAAACAAUGUAUCACUAAGAAAAUACGAGGAGGUCACAUAUCUCGAGGUCACUCUUACAACGAAAUUAAAUUGGGAAACUCAUAUAGAUAACAUAUAUGACAAGGCCCUAGGUAAACUACAUUUCUUGAGAAGAAAACUUAGAAACACACCUCCUAGUGUUAAAUUAAAUGCAUGCAAAACCCUCAUUAGACCCUCUUUAGAGUAUGCUGACAUUAUUUGGGCCCCGCACCAGAAGCAUUUCACCGAGAAACUAGAACGCAUACAGAACUUAGCAUUGAGAUUUAUAUAUUCACAAUAUUCACGUCAAACGAGCAUUACGAACCUGCGCGUCAAGGCUAACAUUCAAUCACUGGCUCAACAUAGAAUGAUUUCCAGAUUAAAAUUUCUAUACUUACUUUAUCACGGCUCCUAUCGAAUACCACAAGCAACAUAAAUUCAAGCGCCAUUCAGACUUUCUGCCCGAACCAACCAUAAUAAAUCAAUACGACACCAUCCCAGCCAUAAUAACACUCACAAGUACUCUUUAUUCCCACACGCCAUUUCCCAUUGGAACAUACUACCCUCCAGAGCCGUAAAUUGCCCAUCUGCCAACGCAAUUAUUGACAGUAUUGAGAAUCUGGAAUUCGAAUGGUGAUAUUACCUGUAUUUCAUAUGCAGCCUCUGUAGAUGCAUUCUUAUAGUAAACGCUGUUUCUCCUGCUUCCCGGGCGGCUCAUUUAAACAGUGUAUAUAUUUAUUGAGUGUGUUCUUUUUUGUGUGUGCUAAUGCUCUUUGUUUUGGAUACACUAGUUUCACUUUAUUCUUUUUUUGUACUGUAUUCCAUGUUGUAACCACUCAUGCAUGGGCCCGACGAUGGCCUGCAAUAUUGUAAAAUAAAUAACUAAAUAAGAAUGCAAAAGCAAUAUAUGUAUACAUAUAUAUACAUACACACACAUACAUAUAUAAAUAUAACAAAUUUCACAGAAGUUUACAAUAAACACAAGUUAAGUUACCAUCAGGAAACAUUCUUUUUUUUUCAGAAAUUAUUUUACAUACUUGCAAAUAUAUAUGUGCAUCUAUGUUAAAAAACAUAAAAAAAGAAAAUCUGCAUAUAGGCUGCUGCUUUCGCGACAGACAUCACGGCAACGUAGCCCAGGGCGUCAUCACAUCCUUGAAUUUUAACAAACGCGAAGACGCCCUUUGCAGCAUCCAGUUUACAACACGAAACCCUGCCACGUGGUUCGGGCACAAUCACUGCAGCGGAAACCCGGAUUCUAGGAAUAGUAGUUACAAGUGUGAAUGUAUAAACAAAACAAAAAGCUUCUACUUAACAUUGAUACAAAAAAAUCUUCUGGCGUCGAUGCGAUACCCAACACAUUCCUAUUCCGGUAUGCCGAGUGGUGCUCUAAAUUCUUAUGUGUGAUUUUUAAUAAGUCGUUACAACUAUCCGAGUUGCCUCAUGACUGGAAGUUUGGAAAGAUUGUUCCAGUGCCAAAAGGAGGAGACCCAUCGCUGCUUUCUUCCUAUCGACCCAUUUCUAUACUCUGCACAUGUUCCAAACUUCUUGAACACAUUAUCUUUAAACAUCUAACAGCUUAUCUUGAGCUUCAUGGUUUUCUUGACCCCAGGCAGCAUGGAUUUCGUAAAGGGCUUUCAACUACUACUCAGCUUAUAGAAACCAUUCAUGAUUUCGCAGCUAUUCUGGAUGAGCAAGGGCAAAUUGAUAUUAUUUUUCUAGAUUUCGAGAAAGCGUUUGACCGGGUAUCACAUACCAAACUCAUGAUAAAAUUGAAACCUAUACUUAAAAAUGAGUCCCUUCUUUCUUGGAUUCAAGCAUACCUUACUUCGAGACGACAAACUGUAAACAUAGACGGAACACAUUCACGUUCAAGACCUGUACUAUCCGGAAUCCCACAGGGAUCAGUGCUUGGGCCCUUUUUUUCUUAAUUUUCAUCAAUGAUAUUGCACAGGAAUUGCCAGUUAAAAUAAAAUUGUUUGCUGACGACUGCGUUUUAUAUAAAGAAAUCCGUAGUCCCGCUGACCAAUCGCUGUUAAAUACCUCGCUGUCUACAGUGCAAUCAUGGUGCAGCACAUGGCAAAUGAAAAUCAAUGCGAAAAAAACUGUAGCGAUGACCGUGACGCGGAAACGACACCCUUUAAACAACCGGUAUUCGAUCGAUGGGCAAAUUUUAGACCGCGUGACAAGCUAUAAAUAUUUGGGUGUAGUUAUCAGCUCGGAUUUAAAAUGGAAUGAGCACGUGUCAUACAUAGAAAAGAAAGCCAUGCAGAAGCUUGGUUACGUGAGGCGUUGCUUAAGAAAUUCACCCCAUGAGAUAAAGCUACUAGCUUACAAAACUUUCGUCCGCCCGAUUCUUGAGUAUGGGUCUGUCGUCUGGGAUCCACAUAGCGAUAUUAACAUACAAAAGGUGGAAAAAAUUCAGAGAAAGGCGAUAAGGUUUGUAUUCAAUUCCUUCAGCCGGUAUGCAUCACCAAGUGCUAUGCUCGAAACAGCAGAACUGGUUACCCUGCAAAAACGGCGAUUUAAAGAACGAUUAAAGUACAUGUAUCUGCUC